Tachysurus fulvidraco (yellow catfish) is the source of this 2518-nucleotide long non-coding RNA. RefSeq lists it as uncharacterized. The transcript has 3 exons. The record is from RefSeq and is a predicted model, not a curated record. Lineage: Eukaryota; Metazoa; Chordata; Actinopteri; Siluriformes; Bagridae.
UGUCUUCCUUGAUCUUCUUUGCUGUUCGAAAAUGAUUGGCUGAUGACUGAUAUAAAACGCAUCAGUUUUGUUUCCUCCACUGCAAUCGUCAACUAAAAAAUCGAAAAGGAAAUGGUUUUUACUUCAUACACCAACCAAUUAUGUAGGUAUAUAUAUUAUAUAGGUGGGAUUAUAUAUUAUACAUUAUAUACAUUCAAAAAACAUUUAUUUAAUAAACUUUUUAAUAAUAGUUUAGCUCCACCUUGGCUUAUGAAUGAGAUGAUAGAGGAAUAUUCUAAAAAAUUAGAAUCUACAAAGGGCCCAGUAGUUUUUAAGAAUGGAGAAGUUUUUGAUUAUAAUCCUGACAUGGAGCUGGUGAUUCCAAAGGAAACACCUUGCAUAAUAAUCAUUAUUACGCACAAUAAAAAAUAUAUUCUUAAUGGACUCGGCUGUUAUUAUGGUAGUGACCAUGUCUUGACUGCCUUGCAUGUAGUUAGAGAUACAGAUUUAGGGAUACUCAUUGCUUUUCCUACUAAAGAUGUUAAACUGAUCUACAAGGCUGAGUUUACUAAAUUUUGUAACCGUGACAAAGAUCGAGAUCUGGCUUUUGUUAAAUUACUAGGCAUUACUAGUCCCCUUGGAGAUGGUUUACAAAAUCAGAGUGUUGAAAUGAAUAAAAAUGACAGUAUAUACUUUUAUACCCGGGACCCUAAUUGUAAUUUUCAGCAGCAGGAGGGUAAAAUUGAUUACCAAAAUUCAAGCCAGUUUUUAAUGUCUGUAGCAGGUAAACCUGGAGACAGUGGCUCACCUAUUUUCAACGCUAAACAUGAACUGAUUGGCAUAUAUCAAGGUGUCAUCCAGAAAUACGGCAUCGGUUGUAAAACUUUUCCACGUUUUUCACCCUGGGGCCAAACGAAUGCCUCACAGAGUUAAAUGAUGUAAUGGUUCACAUUACAAAGAUGUAAUGUUUCAUUUUUUAUAUAAAUUCAAGUUGUUUCCACGCUUUUUUAGUAACCUGCUGAGGAAUCCCUGUAACAACUGACCUGUAAUUUCUCAAAUUUCUUAAAAAUAAAAAAGAUUUAAAAAUAUAUUUAUAUAAAAUAAAUAAAUAAAUAAAAACCUUUAAAACUUUUUUAAAACUUUUUUAAAACUUUAAAAAUCUUUAAAACUUUCCUCCUGCAUGACAGCAAAUACAAUCUUUUUUUUUUCCUUUACUAUCAUGUUUGUCUUUCCCUUUCUAUAUUACUGUAGGUAGCCCAGCCUGAGCGUGUGUGUGUGUGUCUGUGUGUGUUUUGUGACACGUUUGCCAAUGUGCCAAAGCCUCUUUUUUAAGUACAAUGUUUACUUUCUGUUGGACUGAAAAAGCUCUUUGAAAGCAAAUAAACAUUUACUACACUUGUGCCAACACCUGAGAGAUCGACUCACAAAGAAAGUGGAAAUGGACUCUCAGCCAACAGCCUCACCUGGCGCAGAUCGUCCAGUCUUUACGAUGCAAGAGCAGCAUUACAUUUACAUUUACAUCAUUUGGCAGACGCCCUUCUCCUGAGCGACGUACAAAAGUGCUUAAGUCUCUACCAUUGGAUACAUUAACUCUGGUUCACAAGGUUACAUACUUAAGAACCCAACUUCAGCAUCAGCAUCGGUCUCUUUUACAUCUGCAGCAACAACAGCAGGGAAUCCACACUGAAAAGAGCAGCAAACUGCCAAAAAGAAAACACCAUCUAAAGCCUGCUGGCAUGAGCAGCUCUCUAAAAUCUUCCUCAUUGUCCAUGGAAUGGUCGAGAGUACAAUCGUGGUGUGUGUCUGGACCUUUUGCACUUGGCUCGCACAGGCUCACGUGUCAUACUGAGAAAACUCAGGCUUGGCUCACUAAUACAGAAAGGGACUAAACACCUUGUUAGAUGAGCAGUUCUUUUUUGAAAAAAAGAUGAGCAGUUAAGGUUUUUUUUUUAUAAUUAAAUAAAUAACAAUUGCAAAUAAAAAAUUAAAAAAUUCCUAGUUAAAAAAUAGUUUAUUUAAAAAAUAUAUUAUAUAAAUAUAUAUAUAUAUUCAUUAUUAUUAUUAUGGAAGGCAGGAAGGUAGGUCAAGGUGUAUGGUCCUGUGGAAACCAUUUCCUUUUCCAAUUUACCUGACGGCUGCCCAGAGUGAGGUGCUCAAAUUUAAAUUUUUCAGAAAAAAGCCUCACUCUUACUCUUACUGGACAAAAGACACCUGGAUGCAGAAGAUUUCUCUCUACAAAAUGCUGCUGUAAUCGUCAUCAACGCAAUCAUCGCUUCAGCACAUUUAGUCCAUUACUCUUCUCCAUCUGUGGACUGUAAUUAUAUCUAAUUGCAUUAUUUGGUGUCACCCACAAGAGGAUGGGUUCCUUUUUGAGUCUGGUUCCUCUCAAGGUUUCUCCCUUAUGUCAUCUCAGGGAGUUUUUCCUUGCCACCGUCGCCACAGGCUUGCUCACUAAGGACUUCAAUCUAUAUCCAGUAUUCUGUAACAAACAUUUAUUGAAAGGAAACAAAUUGUACGAAUAAAUUUGAGCUGAAAUUGA